RNAcentral lists this ribosomal RNA (200 nucleotides) under uncultured bacterium. RNAcentral's name for it is "partial 16S ribosomal RNA". It matches the Rfam family "Bacterial small subunit ribosomal RNA", at positions 8 to 208 of the family's 1533-position model. The record is from RNAcentral.
AGAGUUUGAUCCUGGCUCAGGACGAACGCUGGCGGCGUGCUUAACACAUGCAAGUCGAACGAUGAUCCGGUUUCGGCUGGUGAUUAGUGGCGAACGGGUGAGUAACACGUGGGCAACCUGCCCUCCACUCUGGGAUAACUCCGGGAAACCGGGGCUAAUACCGGAUAUGACUCGGGGUCGCAUGGCUUCGGGUGGAAAGU